CUAGUCCAAGGCAGACAAUCCCUCUCGCCCUAGGAAGGCCCCACCCCUUGGUAGAGGAGGAGGCUUCAACUUCCGGGUUCCUUCCUGCAUCCUGUUGUCCAGAUCUGGGUCCCGGAAGGACACCACGUCCACUUCCUGCCAACGCGGGGUGCUUGGGGUUGCCCGGUGCCUAGACCCUGCUCAGUAAGGAGCACGCGGCACCCACCAGCUUCACCCAGUUAGAAGAGCAAGAGCCAUGGGUUCCCAGAAGGCUUUUUUUUUUUAAGUCAUCACACAUCUUCAGGGGAAAAAAAUCCCCUACAGUUUCUGGAAGCACACUUGGGAGGCUGAAGCAGAGGAUCGUUGUGAGUUCGAGAUCAGCUGGGCUAUGAAGUGUGCUCAAGGCCAGCCUGAACUGCAUAGUGAGACCUUGUCUCAAAAAGAUGAAGAAAACAAAAUUCUUUACCCAUGGUGUACAGGAGACCCACAUCACUACACAAUUUCGCUGGGGAAGGAGCCCAGGCCCUCAAGGGUGUCAAGCAACCGCUCAUCACAGAGCCUGGGGCCUGGUCAGCUUUGAAUCUUCUGCAGGAUGGAGAGAGACCAUCUGAAUUGCUUGGAGCCUGCCUUCUAGGAUAGAUCCACCUUCAUCUUUUUUUUUUUUUUUUCUUUUUUCCAGUAUCGGGAAUCGAAUUCACGGCUACCUGCUUACAAGGCAGGUACUUAUGCUGCGGGGCUAAAUCCCCAUCCCCUGAUAGAUCCACCUUUUGAGCUGAACUUUCAUCCAGCUCUAGGAUAUCCGAUCUGAAUACAAAAAGCAGCAGUAACCAAGUCAACCGUACCUACUCAGUAAGGCUCCAGGACAGUUACCAUGUGUGUCAUCAGUGAUGGUGUCUAGAUCUUCCAUACACCCACCAAGGGACUGGGGUGCCCAGGCAGUUCCUGCAAAGGCCAGGAAAGAUCAGAAUCUUCACCACCUAAAGGAGAAAUAGAGUCGAGCUACUCACAGACAAAGCCACCCCUCUUUCCCUCCUCCCAGGCCCCAGAGCCUAAAGCCUCUGGCUCUGAGCUCCUCUCACCAGGCCCCACUCCCACAGUGUCAGUCCGUCUUUGAUAUUGCCGCUUCUUCCAAAAGUGCUGCUCAAGUCUUUGCUCAGGACACCAAGAACCUGGAGAAGAUCCUCAUCUGGACCACGGAUGCUGUUGCACACCUGUAAUCCUAGUACUCUGGAGGCUGAGGCAGGAGGAAUAUAGCCAGUUGGAGGCCAGCCUGGGCUCUAUGAGGAAUACAUCCUGGCUAAACCAAACCAGGGCUCAGGUUUUAGCUCAGCAGCACAAGCACCUGCCUGGUAAGUGCAAAGUCAUGAGUUUGAUCCCCAGUACCGAAAAAACCCAAGCCAAACCAGGCCAAACCAAAAAGUCCUUGAUCUGACCACAUCAGCUUUGCUCUUCUAGACUCAUAAGACAUUGGUCCCCUCAGUCUGAUCAGCAGUCAGCCUGGGUCUGGAAUGAGCUGCAGUUUCACAGAAUCCCUGGUUGGUUUGAGUCCUCUUUGUCAGGCGUCAUCCUACUGCCUUCUGAAGGAGCUCCUGGAAGAACUCUGCCUCCCCAACUGUAAACUGACAGGUUUGCUCUGCCUGUUAGAAGUUUCUAGCUUAACCCUUGCCUCCUUUCCAGGGGGGCUCCAGACUCUGCAAGGGUCCUGGGUGCAAGGCAAGACCUUUUCCGGUCUGCCUUUGAGACCACCCCAAAGCCUGCCGCUUGCCUUUCCCUCUUGACAGUCCCUGGCCUGGGCUAAGCUUUUGUGUCCAGACUUGGGAAAUACCACUGGAGAAGAAAUCUGGCCAGUGCCUCUCAUUCCAGAACGGCUCUUUCCUUCUCAGUGUGGGAGACUGAACACAGGGCCUUGGGUCUCCUACAUGAUAGGUAAGCACCGUACCACUGUACCCCAGCCCCGGUGGGAUUUUAGCUCAUGUCUUCGUCAUUGCAUUCACAGAUCUCUGCUGUCUUUAAAGAGAUUUUUGCAACUUAGCAAAAAACAUUUUUUUCCCCAAUGUCCUUAAAAAUAUUUGUAUAUCGGGGCUGGGGAUUUAGCUCAGCGGCAUAAGCACCUGCCUUGAAAGCAGGCAGUCGAGAGUUCAAUCCCUGGUACCGAUAAAAAGGAAAAAGACAAAAAAAAAAAAAAAAAUUUGUAUAUCCUAGUUAGAAACAGAAGUGUUAGCUUGGGACUACAGGUUAGGGGCAGAGCACUUGCCUAGCAUGCUUAAGAGAUUGGAGUUUUUGUUUCUUUUUUUUUUUUUAACAGUAAUAGGUAUCACAGUAUAUUUCGUUAUCUUUACAAUAGUUGUUCUCUCAAUCACGUAUAUCAAAAUAAAAUGAAAUACAGAACAUUAUAGAAGUUAUCAAAACAGAAUAUUGAAUAGAGCACUACCAUUAAUCAGAAUAAAGCAAAACAGUAGUAAAAAUAUUUGCCUUCAAAGAGAUGGUAGAAGGAAAUCCCCCUUAUUUGCUAUGGUCGACCUCCCAGGAGAUGCUCAGAUUUCUGGCUCCCAUUUGUUAAUGGAGGACAGGGGAAGGUGGGUUGGGGAAGUGGGAUGUUUGACUCUAGGCCAUGCACCAGUGGGUUCACUAUUACUUAGCAGGGAGGCAGGUGGGUUGCUUGGUUUCCCAGGGUCCUAAGUUCCAACAUGGCAUGGAUCAUAGGAGACACUGGUGAUUCUCCCCCUGGAAGGGCCGCAGUCUGCCUCAUUUUGUUUUUUGAGAUAGGGUCGCCCUAUGUAGCCCAGGCUGGCCUUGAACUUGAGGUGAUCUCCCUGACUCAGCUGCCUGUGCACCAGGGUUACAGGCCUGUGCUGCCAUUCUUGGCUAUGGGACUGGAUUUGAUUCUCAGAAUUAGAAAAAAAAAAAAAAAAAUUCAGGGGUGAUUCCGGGCCUGCCCCGUGUUAGCAGCUGUGGUACUGGGAACACUGGCCUGCGCUUCCAUUUGUCCUUCUGCCCUUCUGCUGGCUUGCAGAUUGCUCUCCUCACACGGGUAUGAAGGCCACCAGCACUUUGAGCCCACAUCAGUCCCAUCGGUGACUCCAGUCAAGCCUUCUCCUCGCCAACACCUUCAGUCAGCUGGAUGUGUGAGUCUUGCUGACUUGAUGGGGUUACCUGGGCACCUGGGACCCAGCACCGUGCUUAGGGGACAUGUCCUGUUGGCUUGAUCUGGGCAUCCAGCUGCCCUUUCAGCUGAUCACUGCUUUGCUGCUUUCCCACCCCCAGAGGAACUAGACAGCCUCUUUCCAAAGGGCUCCAGCAAAAAGUCCAAAGGAUAACAAACAGUCAAGGCAGGAGGCAGGCAUGGCAGCCAGCGCACGCCUGUAAUCCCAGCACAGGGAGGCUGAGGCAGGAGGACUGUUGGGAGUUUGAGACCAGCCUGGGCUACAAAGUGAGCUCAAGGCCCCCUGAACUGCACAGUGAGACCCUGUCUCAAAAACACAUGGAGAGUUGAGGUAGGGAGACGGGGUACAAAGCUCUUGACUGAAUUGGACCAGGAGGGGCAGGAGCUGCCAGGUGUGGCCUGCCUUAGGAUUCUUGAUGACUUUUCCCAAAGGGAUGCUUAGAUGCUUCCUCCUUGGUCGCCUGCACCUGCAGCUGCUGGAGUUAGCAUAUUAAAAAGCCAGGAUAUGGAGGGACAUUUGAAUUUCAAUAUGUACUGAGUACAUUUGUAACAUCAGCAUGUCCAGCGCACACUCCACUCAGUGUGUGUCAAGUACCCCUGCCCAGCCCCACUGGGUAAGGUGCUAACUCCGCAGUGUGGGGACAAAGCCACCAGUGUAAUUGUCUGGUCUAGAACGGUCCCGCAGAAACGAUGGCUGCCGUCAGGGGCCCUCCUGGGAGGUGCUGCCACCUUUGGAGGUGGGGCCUCCUUACAGGAAGCAGGUCAGGGCGGGGCAGUGCCCUUGGAGGGGUCAAGGAGAGCUUCCCCUCCCCCCACUUCUGUGUCUGGCCUCUGUGAGCAGCUUUGUGUCUCCACCAUGAUGCUUGGCCUCACCCCAGGCCCAGAAGCUGUGCACCCAGUGACCUUGGCCCAAGAACUCUGGAACUCCAAUAAAUCUUUCUUCCUCUCUUAA
This is a long non-coding RNA of Cavia porcellus (domestic guinea pig), 4094 nucleotides long. RefSeq lists it as uncharacterized. NCBI's taxonomy places the organism in Eukaryota, Metazoa, Chordata, Mammalia, Rodentia, Caviidae. The transcript is spliced from 3 exons. The record is from RefSeq and is a predicted model, not a curated record.